AGCCUUGCAAGAGGAACUUAAACAUAUCAAUAAGCGGAGGAAAAGAAACUAACAAGGAUUCCCCUAGUAACUGCGAGUGAAGCGGGAAAAGCUCAAAUUUUAAAUCUGGUGGCCCCGCCGCCCGAGUUGUAUUCUGGAGAAGCGACUUCCGCGCCGGACCGAGCACAAGUGCCUUGGAACAGGACGUCACAGAGGGUGAGAAUCCCGUCUUUGACACGAGACCCCCGGCGCUCUGCUAUGCGCUCUCGCAGAGUCGAGUGGUUUGGGAAUGCAGCUCAAAACGGGUGGUAAAUUCCAUCUAAAGCUAAAUAUUGGCGAGAGACCAGAUAGCGAACAAGUACCGUGAGGGAAAGACUGAAAAGCGACUUUGGAAAGAAGAGUAAAACAGUACGUGAAAUUGUGGAAAGGGAAACGCUUGAAGUCAGUCGCGUUGCGCCGGAACUCAACCUUGCUUCUGCUUGGCGCACUUUCCGGUCAGACGGGCCAGCAUAGGUUUCGUGGGGCGGACACUGGCGGGAUGAAGGUGGCGGCCCUGGCCGCGUAAUAACCACCCGUCCCGAACGCCCCGCGGGGCCGAGGAAUCCGGCGCGAGCCUGGGAUGCUGGCGUAAUGGCUUUAAUCGACCCGUCUUGAAACACGG
Molecule: ribosomal RNA, 640 nt
Filed under: uncultured fungus
Lineage: Eukaryota; Fungi
Description: eukaryotic LSU rRNA
Rfam family: Eukaryotic large subunit ribosomal RNA
Source: RNAcentral